This is a long non-coding RNA of Rosa chinensis, 419 nucleotides long. RefSeq lists it as uncharacterized. The transcript has 3 exons. The record is from RefSeq and is a predicted model, not a curated record. NCBI's taxonomy places the organism in Eukaryota, Viridiplantae, Streptophyta, Magnoliopsida, Rosales, Rosaceae.
UUUGCUUCUAAUAUUUCUCGAUGUGUUAAAGAUGGAAAGAUCUCCGGUCUCAAGACUCAUGAUUGUCAUGUGUUGUUGCAAAGACUUCUUCCGGUGGUAAUUCGACCUUACUUAAGUAGAGAGGUUGCAGACUGAUAUUGUGGUGAUACUAUGUAAACUUGAGCAAAUCUUCCCACCUGCUUUUUUUGAUGUUAUGGUGCAUUUGGAUGUGCAUCUACCGCAUGAGGCAUUACUUGGUGGGCCAGUUCCUAUGAGAUGGAUGUUUCCAAUUGAGAGGAAGUUGGGAAAUCUGAAGGAUUAUGUACGUAAUAAAGCACAUCCUGAAGGCUCCAUCGCUGAAGGAUAUAUUGCAGAAGAAUCAUUAACCUUUUGUUCCAUGUAUCUCAAAGAUGUUGAGACAAGUUUCUCACGACCAGAGC